RNAcentral lists this ribosomal RNA (544 nucleotides) under Salmonella enterica. Its description in RNAcentral is "partial 23S ribosomal RNA". It matches the Rfam family "Bacterial large subunit ribosomal RNA", at positions 711 to 1252 of the family's 2925-position model. Lineage: Bacteria; Pseudomonadati; Pseudomonadota; Gammaproteobacteria; Enterobacterales; Enterobacteriaceae. The record is from RNAcentral. RNAcentral also lists the same sequence under 1 other name.
AGACCCGAAACCCGGUGAUCUAGCCAUGGGCAGGUUGAAGGUUGGGUAACACUAACUGGAGGACCGAACCGACUAAUGUUGAAAAAUUAGCGGAUGACCUGUGGCUGGGGGUGAAAGGCCAAUCAAACCGGGAGAUAGCUGGUUCUCCCCGAAAGCUAUUUAGGUAGCGCCUCGUGAAUUCAUCUCCGGGGGUAGAGCACUGUUUCGGCUAGGGGGCCAUCCCGGCUUACCAACCCGAUGCAAACUGCGAAUACCGGAGAAUGUUAUCACGGGAGACACACGGCGGGUGCUAACGUCCGUCGUGAAGAGGGAAACAACCCAGACCGCCAGCUAAGGUCCCAAAGUCAUGGUUAAGUGGGAAACGAUGUGGGAAGGCCCAGACAGCCAGGAUGUUGGCUUAGAAGCAGCCAUCAUUUAAAGAAAGCGUAAUAGCUCACUGGUCGAGUCGGCCUGCGCGGAAGAUGUAACGGGGCUAAACCAUGCACCGAAGCUGCGGCAGCGACACUCAGGUGUUGUUGGGUAGGGGAGCGUUCUGUAAGCCUGU